CUUUCAGUCGACUUGAAGAGCAUUUUUGGUUCUAAAUCGAGCUCAAACCUUCGUUUCCGCUACUCAUCUUCGUUUUCAUCUAAGGUCUUCGGGGAGCUUCUGUGAGCGUUUUUCACUACUAAUCGUUACACCGCCGCUUUUGUUCUUCAAUUUGAUAUCUAUUUUGCUUUUUUAAGCCAGUUUUCGUUGAUGUCGCGACUGUUUCUUGCUGAUUGGAUCGUCUUCGACCUGGGGCUGGAUGGUUUCUCGCUCGGGUGGCAAGAAAAUGUCGGAGAUCUCUUGUGGUGAUCGAGAUAGAUAGUAGUGUAAGAAGAAAUUGGGAAUGCGAGCAAUUUGAGCGUGGAACCAUCUUCUCCAAUUGGGAAAAGAGAUGUGCUUAGUUCCCUCUCUUCCAUGUUAAUAUACAUGUGAUCGUUCAAAACAAAGUUGAACACAAUCUGUUGUUAAAUUUAUAGGAUCGUUACGAUCCUUGAUGACCUCACGAAAUUUUGUGAUGGGACAUGCUUAAGAUUUGAUUCCGUGUUCAUUGAUAUGUGGUGUCUUACUGGAAGAUGGGCGAGCUCGCUGGCGAUGAACAUCUCAAGUACAUACUGUGUUGAAAAGGUAGGUAUGAAAUUUUUACUACUCUCUUCUUGUUCUCUUGUCCACUUUCUGCCAGUUACUGAAAAUGACUUGGUUUAUCUGGAUCUGCUACUAUUCAGCAUUUUGGAGUUUACUAAUUUGAGUUUCUGGGUUUGAUCUUGCACUCAGAAAAAGGAUAGUUUUGAGUCAUUGAUUAUGGAGCACUUGAGAUUGGAUGGAGCAUUUUGGGGAUAGAACACUCUAGAUCUUCUUGGAAAACUUGGCACUGUGGAUUCAAAUGAAGUUGUUUCUUGGAUCCUGUAAUGCCAGCAUCUGUCUGGUUUGUAUUUUUUUGUCUCUCGGCUUCUUUUUUGCGAUUACCCACCAAAAACAUGUGGCUGACGGAACCUCCACUCCACAUUCAGUCAAGUUUUUCUUAUUUGACAGUAUGCUUAAGAUAUUAGCUUGGGAUUGACAAGUUCCAUCUAUUACAUUGAUGACCACAUCUUAGGAGUGAUUAGUGUUGCUUUAUUUAUUUAUAUUCUAAAACUUGACUCUAAAGAGCAAAGUGCAAAUGACACUUAGGGCCUGCUUGUGCAGGUGGGCUUUGGUGCCAAAUAUUGGACAUGAUCCGCAUCUGCUGUAUGCACUCAGAGCCGUGCAAGUACUGGCCCUUUAUGGCAAAUUAGAUGUUUUUGACAUCAAUAAUGUGACAGAUUGUAUCCUUUGGAAUAAAGUGUCUUAGAUUCGCAACUCCCUUGAUGAUCUUACCUUAGGCUCUGUUUUGCAUGUAAAAGGUCAGAUUAUGUUAUGGAAUUUUAUAGUGUGUAUAUUGCUAGCCAGACAUUGAUGGAGAUUGAAGUUGCUACUGUUGGAUUAUCUCUGGUAUCAAAUGUUCUACAUUGUUGUGCCUGAA
This is a long non-coding RNA of Eucalyptus grandis, 1477 nucleotides long. RefSeq lists it as uncharacterized. The record is from RefSeq and is a predicted model, not a curated record. The transcript has 2 exons. Lineage: Eukaryota; Viridiplantae; Streptophyta; Magnoliopsida; Myrtales; Myrtaceae.